This 496-nucleotide ribosomal RNA is filed under the name uncultured bacterium. RNAcentral describes it as "partial 16S ribosomal RNA". It matches the Rfam family "Bacterial small subunit ribosomal RNA", at positions 28 to 506 of the family's 1533-position model. The record is from RNAcentral.
GACGAACGCUGGCGGCGUGCCUAAUACAUGCAAGUUGAGCGCUGAAGGAUGGUACUUGUACCCACUGGAUGAGCAGCGAACGGGUGAGUAACGCGUGGGGAAUCUGCCUUUGAGCGGGGGACAACAUCUGGAAACGACUGCUAAUACCGCAUAAAAACUUUAAACACAAGAUUUAAGUUUGAAAGAUGCAAUUGCCUCACUCAAAGAUGAUCCCGCGUUGUAUUAGCUAGUUGGUGAGGUAAAGGCCCACCAAGGCGAAGAUACAUAGCCGACCUGAGGGGGUGAUCGGCCACAUUGGGACUGAGACACGGCCCAAACUCCUAAGGGAGGCAGCAGUAGGGAAUUUUCGGCAAUGGACGAAAGUCUGACCGAGCAACGCCGGGGGAGUGAAGGAGGUUUUCGGAUCGGAAAACUCUGUUGGUAGAGAAGAACGUUGGUGAGAGUGGAAAGCUCAUCAAGUGACGGUAACUACCGAGAAAGGGACGGCUAACUACGU